AAAAACUCUCAUCCCUUUUUUUUAUUAGCCUAUCUGUAUCUUUGUGGGUGGCCACUGGCCAACGUAGCCCGAGCUGUGCGAGAGCCGGUCAAGACACACACGGGCGAGGCGAUUGUUGGUGGCGGGCGUGCGAGCGGGCGCACACGGGGGCGUGGGCACGCGGACCGGCCAUAGAUGGUACUGGCAUGGAGUGUGAGCUGGACGGAGACGCAACGGCAGCGAGGGCAUGCGCAACAACCAAGGUGCGAGAGGGCGGCUCUGACGCGCGCGAGCAGAUUCAUCAAAUCUACCUCAAAGUGUGUGUGGAAAAGCAAAAAACCGGCGCGUUGCCUUGAGGACGAGCCGGCCGGCCAGAGUGGAGAUAAGGCCAGCUCGAGGUGUGUUCACUGUGAUGGGGCGAGGUGGUACCAGUCAGGCGCGGAGCUGUGAAGCGGGGAGGAGCCGGUGCGCGGGUGGCAUGACGCAGUGGGCCGGAUCGAGGCGGGGCAGAGCCAUGACGGCAGAGGUGAGGCCGCGUUGGAGGAAGCCAACACGGGUGAUACAAGCGGUGCAAGGCGGGAGCGAGGUGAGCGCGGGUGGCGCUGGUGCGCGAAGAUGUAUCUGCGCGCAGGAGGUGCACGCGUGGCGCAACAAAGUUGAUGACGGCGACAGUAGGCGCGACUAGGCGUGCACGGGCCGGGGGCGCCGCGGAGCUAGCGCAGUAGGAGCCGGCCACGAUGGAGGUGAGGGGCAGCUAGUGGAGCUCAACGCAGCAGGAGCCGAUGAAUGACGAAGGCGGCGCGCAGCAGGUGGAGCGCAGCACAGCGGGCGCCGGCGCGCGGCGGCGCACGGUGCAGCAGAAGAAGUCAGCUGUCGGAGCGGCGACUGAGGCGAGGCCGCUUCUGAGGACCAGCUCAAGAUGGGGCGACACCGCCCCAGAUCGAGGAGAACUCGGAGCGAGGUGGAGG
Molecule: long non-coding RNA, 947 nt
Filed under: Hordeum vulgare
Lineage: Eukaryota; Viridiplantae; Streptophyta; Magnoliopsida; Poales; Poaceae
Description: long non-coding RNA (HVUL_LNC015227)
Source: RNAcentral